UAAGUCCCCAAGCGCCUGCUCGGACUGCUACAGUCUGGGCUCAUAUUCCACUCGCCUUUUCCACGUACGCAGGUCUACCUGAAGGCACAGUCCUCCCGAGGUCGGGUCAACCUCCGCCGCGUGCCGCCACACGCCUGCGCCUGCGCACUCGGAACACCGCGCACUCCCGGCGCCAGGACAGUUCCAGGUGGACUGCAUUUCCCAGAAGCCACCGGGCUCGCAUCAGCCUCGGUCCCUGCGUCCUCUUCCGGUGGCCGAGCAGCUGUGGUCCCUACGUGUGCUGCCUGUCUCGGAAAAAAAAAGUAUCCUGAGAGAGGAAAGAAUUUUUGUUACACAACUAAAAGUUUAAGUUCAGGUUUUUCUGUUUCCAAGCCAGGUGUAAUUCCUGAAUUGGAACAAGGAGUCCAGGCCUAGUAGGUGGAGAGUGUAGUGACAAGAGGAUUUGUCCAGCUCUGGCUUCUCUGGACUCAGCUUCUGAGGAUGAUUGGCAGUUCUAAAACCAUGGGCCGGGUAAGUGGGUUUCUCUCCUUCCUGAAAUAUUACAAUUUUUAAUUCAGAUAAUAUUUUCAUUCUUUAUCCCAAAACCUCCUUCCUAGGAAAGCUGUAUCUCAGCCUGUUUCACAGUUGCUGCCUUUACAGAGAAGGAUGGUGUCCUCCCUAUUUGCUCCCUUUUUUCAAACUGAUUUUUCAGUUUUUCAUCAAAUGAGUUAUUCCUCUUCUAUAUGUUCAGUCUUCUCUCGGGAGCAGUGUUGGAGCAGUAAAGGGGUGAAGUACCUUGAAGGAAGUAUUUUAGCUUCCCUUGUUAGGUUUGUAGUUUCAUUGUAUAGAAAUGGUGGCCCUCUUUGACCAGAAGAGGGAGAACUUUCUCCAUAGUUUUCCAGGUAGAUAAGGGAGAAUUUGGUUUCGAAUGGUCUCAGUCUCAGUGUUAGAUGAGAUCUCAGCUUUGAAAAGCUUUUAGGUUUGGGUUGAAAUGGGAUUGGUACCUGCCUACAGAGAGGAGGGGUUCUGGCUGAGGAAUCACUGAGAAGUGAAUAGGGUUCUGAGGCCCAUUUUGUAGGGGAAGAGAGAUUGCUUGGCUUGAGUCAUUCAAUGUUGUUCUGGAUCAUUCUACAUUAGUGUGUUCUAACUCAAGAACCGGAAGUUCAGUAAGGGAUUGUAGAAAGGGAAGAUGAGAACCACAUCUGGUGGAUAAUACUGAACUGUGGGGAAGAGGUUAAAGAAAAUUUUGAAAAUUAAAAUUAAAGAAAUUUUUUGUGCUCCAACAGGAUUAUUCAAGAUUGGGUAGGGAAUCUACUUCAGAUAUGCUAAUUUAUUUAUUAUUUAUUCUCAUCUACCCAUGUCAUGAUCUUUAACUUCAGCCUACUUGUUUUUAUAUAUCACCCCCUACUGCAACUCAAUAUUCCAUCUUGAAAUUUUUUUUCUACUUUUACAAAUAAUACAUGAAUUUAUCAUUUCAGGUGCCACUGACAUUCAGUGAUGUUGCCAUAGACUUCUCUCAGGAGGAGUGGGAAUGCCUAAACUCAGAUCAGAGGAACUUGUACAGAGAUGUGAUGUUGGAGAAUUAUACUAACUUGAUAUCACUGGGUAAGGACAUCUGCCUGAAGUAAUGUAGAAUCUGCUAUCUGGAAUAUCCACUUUUUCUACUGUAUAUUUUAUGCUCUGUGCUAAGAAACUAGCAAAAUUUCUGCUCCAUAUUCUCAAAGGACUAUUUGGGGCUUUGUUAGAUUGAAAUAAGCACCUUCAUUCAGCACCUAAAUCUUUUUUAAAAUUUUAUUUAUUUAUUUAUGGCUACAUUGCGUCUUCGUUGCUGCACGCGGGCUUUUUCUAGUUGUGGCGAGCGGGGGCUACUCUUCGUUGCAGUACGCAGGCUUCUCAUUGCGGUGGCUUCUCUUGUGGAGCAUGAGCUCUAGGUGCACAGGCUUCAGUAGUUGUGGCACGUGGGCUCAGUAGUUGUGGCUCACGGGCUCUAGAGUGCAGGCUCAGUAGUUGUGACGCAUGGGCUUACUUGCUCCGCAGCAUGACAGCACCUAAAUCUUCUCUGUCCUUCAUUUACCUUCCUACCUCCUUCUGAUCCAUCCUGCAGUUGCUUUUUCUAAAUGACCAAAGGAUUGAAUUCUGGGAAUUUUCUGCAUAACUACUGGCAAAGAAAACAAAUGUCAAAUUAUGUGUAUUUUCAUAAUGUCAAUAAAUAUUCUAUUUUAAUUGCCAAUCCACCUACAUGGAGAACAGGUAACAUAGAGUCCUGGUUUUCUCUUUAUUACAGAUGAGACUUUGUAAUUUUUACAGUGGUAGAAUGAGUCAAGAUCAUUAUCUUUUUGAGUAUUUUCUGUUAUAGCAGUGAAAAUGUUGGCUUUCAGUAAUUUGAUAGAUUCUACUCAGAAGUGUCUUUGUUCAGGUUUUGGACAAUACUUGACCGUUCUCUCCUCUCCUCUGGGAUUCCAGUUAUACCUACGUUAGAUCUUUUGAGAACUUCUCUCUCUAGAAAUUCACUUUGAUUGUCUUUUAUAACUUCCAGUUACCUGUUGCAAUUCUUUUAUUUACUGUC
Molecule: long non-coding RNA, 2545 nt
Filed under: Delphinapterus leucas (beluga whale)
Lineage: Eukaryota; Metazoa; Chordata; Mammalia; Artiodactyla; Monodontidae
Description: lncRNA (ENSDLEG00000001682.1)
Source: RNAcentral